RNAcentral lists this ribosomal RNA (258 nucleotides) under uncultured bacterium. Its description in RNAcentral is "partial 16S ribosomal RNA". It matches the Rfam family "Bacterial small subunit ribosomal RNA", at positions 98 to 354 of the family's 1533-position model. The record is from RNAcentral.
CGGCACGGGUGAGUAACACGUAUGCAACCUGCCUGCCACAGCCGGAUAAUCGGGAGAAAUUCCGUCUAAUACGGCAUAAUGCAUCGACGGGACAUCCUGUUGGUGCCAAAGGUUGAUUCCGGUGGCGGAUGGGCAUGCGUCGCAUUAGUUAGUUGGCGGUGUAACGGACCACCAAGACGACGAUGCGUAGGGGUUCUGAGAGGAAGGUCCCCCACACUGGUACCGAGACACGGACCAGACUCCUACGGAAGGCAGCAG